This 437-nucleotide ribosomal RNA is filed under the name Micrococcus luteus. RNAcentral describes it as "bacterial SSU rRNA". It matches the Rfam family "Bacterial small subunit ribosomal RNA", at positions 28 to 479 of the family's 1533-position model. Lineage: Bacteria; Bacillati; Actinomycetota; Actinomycetes; Micrococcales; Micrococcaceae. The record is from RNAcentral.
GAUGAACGCUGGCGGCGUGCUUAACACAUGCAAGUCGAACGAUGAAGCCCAGCCUGCUGGGCGGAUUAGUGGCGAACGGGUGAGUAACACGUGAGUAACCUGCCCUUGACUCUGGGAUAAGCCCGGGAAACUGGGUCUAAUACCGGAUAGGAGCGCCUGUCGCAUGACGGGUGCUGGAAAGAUUUUUCGGUCAUGGAUGGACUCGCGGCCUAUCAGCUUGUUGGUGAGGUAACGGCUCACCAAGGCGACGACGGGUAGCCGGCCUGAGAGGGUGACCGGCCACACUGGGACUGAGACACGGUCCAGACUCCUACGGGAGGCAGCAGUGGGGAAUAUUGCACAAUGGGCGGAAGCCUGAUGCAGCGACGCCGCGUGAGGGAUGACGGCCUUCGGGUUGUAAACCUCUUUCAGUAGGGAAAAAGCGAAAGUGACGUACC